AUCAUACCCCCUCCGUCCGAAAAUACUUGUCACAUAAAUGGAUAAAAAUGGAUGCAUCUAGAAUUAAAAUACGUCUAGAUACAUCCAUUUCGCUGACAAGUAUUUCCUGAAGGAGGGAGUAUAAG
Triticum aestivum (bread wheat) is the source of this 125-nucleotide non-coding RNA. Lineage: Eukaryota; Viridiplantae; Streptophyta; Magnoliopsida; Poales; Poaceae. The record is from Rfam.